AGAGUUUGAUCCUGGCUCAGGACGAACGCUGGCGGCGUGCCUAAUACAUGCAAGUCGAGCGAGCGGAACUAACAGAUUUACUUCGGUAAUGACGUUAGGAAAGCGAGCGGCGGAUGGGUGAGUAACACGUGGGGAACCUGCCCCAUAGUCUGGGAUACCACUUGGAAACAGGUGCUAAUACCGGAUAAGAAAGCAGAUCGCAUGAUCAGCUUUUAAAAGGCGGCGUAAGCUGUCGCUAUGGGAUGGCCCCGCGGUGCAUUAGCUAGUUGGUAAGGUAAAGGCUUACCAAGGCGAUGAUGCAUAGCCGAGUUGAGAGACUGAUCGGCCACAUUGGGACUGAGACACGGCCCAAACUCCUACGGGAGGCAGCAGUAGGGAAUCUUCCACAAUGGACGCAAGUCUGAUGGAGCAACGCCGCGUGAGUGAAGAAGGUUUUCGGAUCGUAAAGCUCUGUUGUUGGUGAAGAAGGAUAGAGGUAGUAACUGGCCUUUAUUUGACGGUAAUCAACCAGAAAGUCACGGCUAACUACGUGCCAGCAGCCGCGGUAAUACGUAGGUGGCAAGCGUUGUCCGGAUUUAUUGGGCGUAAAGCGAGCGCAGGCGGAAGAAUAAGUCUGAUGUGAAAGCCCUCGGCUUAACCGAGGAACUGCAUCGGAAACUGUUUUUCUUGAGUGCAGAAGAGGAGAGUGGAACUCCAUGUGUAGCGGUGGAAUGCGUAGAUAUAUGGAAGAACACCAGUGGCGAAGGCGGCUCUCUGGUCUGCAACUGACGCUGAGGCUCGAAAGCAUGGGUAGCGAACAGGAUUAGAUACCCUGGUAGUCCAUGCCGUAAACGAUGAGUGCUAAGUGUUGGGAGGUUUCCGCCUCUCAGUGCUGCAGCUAACGCAUUAAGCACUCCGCCUGGGGAGUACGACCGCAAGGUUGAAACUCAAAGGAAUUGACGGGGGCCCGCACAAGCGGUGGAGCAUGUGGUUUAAUUCGAAGCAACGCGAAGAACCUUACCAGGUCUUGACAUCUAGUGCCAUUUGUAGAGAUACAAAGUUCCCUUCGGGGACGCUAAGACAGGUGGUGCAUGGCUGUCGUCAGCUCGUGUCGUGAGAUGUUGGGUUAAGUCCCGCAACGAGCGCAACCCUUGUUAUUAGUUGCCAGCAUUAAGUUGGGCACUCUAAUGAGACUGCCGGUGACAAACCGGAGGAAGGUGGGGAUGACGUCAAGUCAUCAUGCCCCUUAUGACCUGGGCUACACACGUGCUACAAUGGGCAGUACAACGAGAAGCGAGCCUGCGAAGGCAAGCGAAUCUCUGAAAGCUGUUCUCAGUUCGGACUGCAGUCUGCAACUCGACUGCACGAAGCUGGAAUCGCUAGUAAUCGCGGAUCAGCACGCCGCGGUGAAUACGUUCCCGGGCCUUGUACACACCGCCCGUCACACCAUGGGAGUCUGCAAUGCCCAAAGCCGGUGGCCUAACCUUCGGGAAGGAGCCGUCUAAGGCAGGGCAGAUGACUGGGGUGAAGUCGUAACAAGGUAGCCGUAGGAGAACCUGCGGCUG
RNAcentral lists this ribosomal RNA (1544 nucleotides) under Lactobacillus crispatus. RNAcentral describes it as "bacterial SSU rRNA". It matches the Rfam family "Bacterial small subunit ribosomal RNA". The record is from RNAcentral. Lineage: Bacteria; Bacillati; Bacillota; Bacilli; Lactobacillales; Lactobacillaceae. RNAcentral also lists the same sequence under 7 other names.